AAAUUUGGGUAGGUUGAACAGGUCAUGGUCAAUUUUGACAACAGUAUACACCAACACAAACAAAUCAAUUUUUCAAGCUACACAAAAUAAAUCCGUCUAAGGAGACCUUAUUCUUGCUAAAAUUAUUAAACGAAACUAAACACCAACAUUAAAGUAAAAGUAACGAAAAAUGGGUUGCAGGAUUCAGAUUUCUCUAUUUUUCCACAGAACAAAAAAUUACUCAGAGAUCCACAUAAAAUUAAAAUUUAUAUCUUAGAAUUAAGGUCAAGAAGACAGAUCUUAGAUUUACCGUGUCCCUUUAUCUUCAAUUGAUUUUGUGAACGGUUAAAUAGAUCUGGAAAAAAUAGGAAAACCCUAGUAGAUCUGAUACAUGAGAUGGGUUAAGAAGAUUCGUUACCUCGUUGAAGCAACAGACAAUUGAAACUACAGCGAAGCUGAAGCUGAAGCGGAGAUACAGAGGCUGAGCCAAAAUAU
RNAcentral lists this long non-coding RNA (474 nucleotides) under Nicotiana benthamiana. RNAcentral's name for it is "long non-coding RNA (NBEN_LNC030773)". The record is from RNAcentral. Lineage: Eukaryota; Viridiplantae; Streptophyta; Magnoliopsida; Solanales; Solanaceae.